GUCUCAAGUACUUCAUUACUUCAAUCACAAAAAGCAUUGUUUCUUUCAUUGUCUCACCUAUUUCAUUAUCUUCAACCAUAUACAAAUACAAAAUAGUCUCAGAAAAAUGAAAAAUAAUACAGAAGCCACAUUAGGAUCAUGCCAUGAACCCUAAUUUGCUCCAGUAAUAUGUGCCUCAUAUUGGGUACAACAUUUUUCAUUAAUCUCUAACACAAAACUUGGAAAAACCCACAAUAAAUUACACAACAUAGGGCCUUAAAAGAACACGGAUCAGCUUCACAAAGCUACUUUAAUCUACAGGCACUGGAACUUUGUUAUAAUAGAAUAACAAAAUGAAAAGAAAUUAGAGAAAUCAAAUGGUAAAGAGAAGAGUAAUUUGACAGAGAGACUUACAUGGGGGUUCUUCUUAGGUUUG
RNAcentral lists this unclassified non-coding RNA (415 nucleotides) under Hevea brasiliensis (rubber tree). Lineage: Eukaryota; Viridiplantae; Streptophyta; Magnoliopsida; Malpighiales; Euphorbiaceae. The record is from RNAcentral.